This is a regulatory RNA element of Peptoniphilus lacrimalis 315-B, 228 nucleotides long. It matches the Rfam family "T-box leader". From Rfam's summary of the family: Uncharged tRNA acts as the effector for transcription antitermination of genes in the T-box leader family. T-boxes are found upstream of many aminoacyl-tRNA synthetase genes and some amino acid biosynthetic genes usually in Gram-positive bacteria. Lineage: Bacteria; Bacillati; Bacillota; Tissierellia; Tissierellales; Peptoniphilaceae. The record is from Rfam.
UAAAAAAUGUUGAUUAGAAAAUAGUAGCUUUAAGUUGAUUUUUAGAGAGACAAUGGUUGGUGAAAAUUGUUAUGAUGCUUUUAGUGAAUGGGUCUAUGAGUGCAAGGCGAAUUAUAGUAGCCGAGACGGGUUUCUCCCGUUACAGAGAUAGGAUAUGAAUGUAUCUGAAAGAGGUCUAUAUUUUUAUAGAAAUAGGAUGGCACCGCGAAUUCACCAUUUGCUCCUAUA